This 424-nucleotide ribosomal RNA is filed under the name uncultured bacterium. Its description in RNAcentral is "partial 16S ribosomal RNA". It matches the Rfam family "Bacterial small subunit ribosomal RNA", at positions 360 to 776 of the family's 1533-position model. The record is from RNAcentral.
AAUAUUGGACAAUGGGCGAAAGCCUGAUCCAGCCAUGUCGCGUGUGUGAAGAAGGUCUUCGGAUUGUAAAGCACUUUAAGUUGGGAGGAAGAGUUGUAGGCUAAUACCUUGCAAUUGUGACGUUACCAAUAGAAUUAGCAUCGUCUAACUUCGUGCCAGCAGCCGCGGUAAUACGAAGGGUGCAAGCGUUAAUCGGAAUUACUUGGCGUAAAUCGCGCGUAGGUGGUUCGUUAAGUUGGAAGUGAAAGCCCCGGGCUUAACCUGGGAACUGCUUUCAAAACUGGCAAGCUAGAGUAUGGCAGAGGGUGGUGGAAUUUCCUGUGUAGCGGUGAAAUGCGUAGAUAUAGGAAGGAACACCAGUGGCGAAGGCGACCACCUGGGCUAAUACUGACACUGAGGUGCGAAAGCGUGGGGAGCAAACAGG